AAGUAAUAGAUACUUCAUCCUCACCUAGUAGGUCAAUAUUGUAUGCGUUGUCAUUGACACGCUUUAAAAUUUUGAAUGGUUCGUCUCCUCGAGGAUUCAGCUUAGAUUUUCGCUGCUUGGCAAACUUUUCUUUCCUUAGAUGAACCCAUACCCAUUCUUCUGGUUGGCAAAUGAGGCAUUUCUGUCCCUUAUUAGCAUUGC
This 201-nucleotide long non-coding RNA is filed under the name Carica papaya (papaya). RNAcentral's name for it is "long non-coding RNA (CPAP_LNC006843)". The record is from RNAcentral. Lineage: Eukaryota; Viridiplantae; Streptophyta; Magnoliopsida; Brassicales; Caricaceae.